Lemur catta (Ring-tailed lemur) is the source of this 241-nucleotide long non-coding RNA. RefSeq lists it as uncharacterized. The transcript has 3 exons. The record is from RefSeq and is a predicted model, not a curated record. Lineage: Eukaryota; Metazoa; Chordata; Mammalia; Primates; Lemuridae.
UCUCCAUUGCGGUCAUCUGGACUUCCAGGCAAACAGGACACACAGGGGACAAUGAGCAGGAUCAUCUUCUCAAGUUCUGUGCCAGAAAAACCCCAUUGAGAUUUUGCCUGCAAUUACAUUAAAUAUAUGAUCACUUUGAUCCUGCCAGGAUCGUCAGUAUAAUCUUGAGAAGAAAUUAUAAUAGCAGGCAUCUUUUCUAAUCAUUUAAUAUCCUAUUAAGAUGGGAGAUAUAUAUUUUGAA